GUUCGAAUCUGUUGCAGCUGCCAGAGACGAAGCCCUUCGUGUACCACUGCUCGCUGCUUGCCUGAAGCUUUCCUCUGCUCUGCUCUGCUCCGCUGCACCUUCUCAAGCGCAACAAGUCCAUCGCCACACCAAAAAGAUUCCGCUCGCUCCUCGACCCCGCUAUCUCCAUGGACUCUGUGAUUGCAAAUUUGACUUGUUGGUGGCAGGGACGCAAAUUGGAGCUGUGAUUUUGCUGGUUCUGAUGUUGUGAGCGUGAAAUGUAAGGCUGAUCGUGUUGAUAGUGGCUACGUACUUAAUGGAAACAAGAUGUGGUCUACUAAUGGUCCAGUCGCUCAAACAUUGGUUGUCUAUGCAAAGACAGACAUAACAGCUGGGUCAAAAGGAAUCACUGCAUUCAUCAUCAAGAAGGGAAUGCCAGGAUUCAGCACGGCCCAGAAAUUGGAUAAACUUGGGAUGCGAGGAAGUGAUACAUGUGAACUCGCGUUUGAGAAUUGCUUUGUUUCUGAAGAAAAUGUUCUUUGGGAAGUAGGAAAAGGAGUCUAUGUCAUGAUGUCUGGUUUGGUUCUGGAGAGACUUGGUUUGGCAGCUGGUCCCCUGGGUAUCAUGCAGGCAUGUCUUGAUGUGGUCCUUCCUUAUGUUGGACAAAGAGAGCAGUUCGGUCAUCCUAUUGGGGAAUUUCAGUUUAUACAGGUCCAUAUAGUUGAGAAAUGGUUUUUCUACAAUCAUCCUGGCAUUUUAUUGCAUGUGAUUUUUAGACAUUACAUUGUAGAUCGAUCUUGUUACAGGGGAAAGUUGCCGACAUGUAUACUUUAUCGUCCUCAAGGGCUUAUGUGUAUUCGGUGGCUCGGGACUGCAACAAUGAAAAAGUAGACGCAAAGGUCCAUUUUGACAUAGUAUUAUACCAACAUAUGAGUGUCGUGGCACGUGUGAAAUGCAAUACCAUUAUGCUGUCACGAUAGACUAAGAAUAAAUUAUCAUUGCUAAAAUGUUGGCAUCUGUUUCUGCAAUGCGUUCUGAACUCAAGCAUCAAAUUGACUUAAGAUGUUGACUAAUUACAACUCUACUUGCGGAUUUUCUGUCCGAUCCUCGAUGCAAGAAACUUCUAUAGUUUCUUGAUUUUUCAUUGGUAUUGUUUCCUAUUCAUUGCAAAACAUGAUGUAAUGGCUACUGCUUUCAAGAUUGUGCUGGAAUUAUACUUACAGCAGCUGAGAGAGCAACCCAAGUUGCUUUGCAGGCAAAACAAUGUUUGGGAGGAAAUGGAUAUGUGAAUGAGUAUCCAACUUGUCGUCUUCUGAGAGAUGCCAAACUAUAUGAGAAUGGUGCAGGAACUAGUGAGAUCAGAAGAAUGAUUAUUGGACGUGAACUCUUCAAGGAGCAGUAGUGAAAUGUUCAUUAUGUAACAGUAAAUGUUCAUUCAUCAAAGGGGAAUAAAAUUAGUCAUGAGAAUCCAUUAUUAAUAAAGGAAAGC
Arachis stenosperma is the source of this 1468-nucleotide RNA transcript. It is a transcript of the gene named isovaleryl-CoA dehydrogenase, mitochondrial-like, with no coding region annotated. The record is from RefSeq and is a predicted model, not a curated record. NCBI's taxonomy places the organism in Eukaryota, Viridiplantae, Streptophyta, Magnoliopsida, Fabales, Fabaceae. The transcript has 9 exons.